GCCUUCGGGCAUUUGGUCAAUUUGAAACGAUACAGAGAAGAUGUAAGUUACACCCUGGAGGUCGUGGGUUCGAACCACGGUAACUAACUAUCUCACAGUAGCAUGGCCCCUGCACUAAGGAUGACACGCUCAAUCAAAGAGAAGCUACCAAUUUUU
Molecule: small nuclear RNA, 156 nt
Filed under: Colletotrichum graminicola M1.001
Lineage: Eukaryota; Fungi; Ascomycota; Sordariomycetes; Glomerellales; Glomerellaceae
Source: RNAcentral